GUUAAGGGGAUUGUUGUCUGGUUCAAGGUCUCCACAUUAUGCAUCAUGUUCAUGCAUGGAGAGGCACAAGUUGCUUCACAUGGACUGCAUGGCUUGGUGAUCUCGGACCAGGCUUCAAUCCCUUUAAC
Molecule: microRNA precursor, 128 nt
Filed under: Leersia perrieri
Lineage: Eukaryota; Viridiplantae; Streptophyta; Magnoliopsida; Poales; Poaceae
Description: pre miRNA mir-166
Rfam family: mir-166 microRNA precursor family
About the family: This family represents the plant microRNA (miRNA) precursor mir-166. Animal miRNAs are transcribed as ~70nt precursors and subsequently processed by the Dicer enzyme to give a ~22nt product.
Source: Rfam by way of RNAcentral